This is a long non-coding RNA of Pan troglodytes (chimpanzee), 844 nucleotides long. RefSeq lists it as uncharacterized. The record is from RefSeq and is a predicted model, not a curated record. Lineage: Eukaryota; Metazoa; Chordata; Mammalia; Primates; Hominidae. The transcript is spliced from 3 exons.
AGUUGGUUUUUAACUGCCUAGCAGGACAAGAGGCCAUAUGCAGUUUUCCCCUUGACUGAUCUUUGCUUCUUGUGGCUUAUUCCACAAACAAGAGGCAGAAUGGCAUAUACAGAACCCUGCAAAGGCCCAGCCUCAUCACAAGAGAGGAACAGACCAUAGAGGGGUGGGGCAGAAAGAGGAAUGAUUUUUUUUUAACUGCGCCUUUUAAACUGCGAAGCAGCUAAGCUCCAUAUAUACAGAAGAGCCCCAUGGAAGUCUGGGUGUAUAUAGGGGUAUGUUUUCCAGAAUGGCUUGGUUUCCUGAAGCCUACUGCAAUUGUUGAAGUGAUUUGCCCACUCUAGAGAAGGUAUAUGAAGCGGAAAUGGAAUAUGAAGAGAUAUUCGUACAACGGAACAAGGUCAUUGAAUUUCAGAACAGAGUCAUGAUUAUAAAAAAAGAGUUUCCACCAUAUGUAAAAAGACUAUGAUGUUAUACACAGAAAAAAAGGCCAAAGAUGAAAGUUCUGAAACUAUAUACUUCUCAGAGAGGAAUCCAACAAACGCCUUUGCCAAAUCAUGUUGGGAGCUGGUUAAAAUGCAGAAUCUUGAACCCCACCCUAGAGAUACAGAUCUGGACAUGGGACCCUAUUACCUACGUUUUCAACACAAAAGUUUAGGAAUCACCACUAUAAACAAUGCACUGUGAAAUAAGUUAUAUUGUAAAGACCCAAACCUUGGAAGUUUUUAUACCCUGAGAGUUCCAAGGAGUGCCACUUCCAGUUCCAGAGGUCUUGGAUUUGAAAUGUACGUAGGCAAAACUGACUGGACUUUUUCUGUGCAAAUACACUAUUUCUAUGGAAAAAUAA